Molecule: non-coding RNA, 117 nt
Filed under: Chlorocebus sabaeus (green monkey)
Lineage: Eukaryota; Metazoa; Chordata; Mammalia; Primates; Cercopithecidae
Source: Rfam by way of RNAcentral
GCCGGGCGUGGUGGCGCACGCCUGUAAUCCCAGCACUUUGGGAGGCUGAGUCAGGCGGAUCACCUGAGGUCAGGAGUUUGAGACCAGCCUGGCCAACAUGGCGAAACCCCGUCUCUA